UUCGCCAGGGAACUACAAGCCCCAGCUUAAAACCCAAAGGACUUGGCGGUGCUUUAGACCCCCUAGAGGAGCCUGUUCUAGAAUCGAUAAUCCCCGUUCAACCUCACCCUCCCUUGUUUAUACAGCCUAUAUACCGCCGUCGUCAGCUUACCCUAUGAAGGAGUAAUAGUAAGAAAGAUUGGCAAAGCCCAAAACGUCAGGUCAAGGUGUAGCGCACGGGAGGGGAAGUAAUGGGCUACAUUUACUGACCCAGUAAAUACGGACCUUGCAUUGAAACAAGCAUCUGAAGGAGGAUUUAGCAGUAAGAGAGGAAUAGAGAGCCCCCGUGAAACCGGCCCUAAAGCGCGCACACACCGCCCGUCACUCUCCCCAAGGCUCAUCAACAAAUAAAUAAUACCCCGCCCGCCAUAAAGGGGAGGCAAGUCGUAACAUGGUAAGUGUAUCGGAAGCUGCACUUGGAAAAACC
Molecule: ribosomal RNA, 466 nt
Filed under: Psilotris kaufmani
Lineage: Eukaryota; Metazoa; Chordata; Actinopteri; Gobiiformes; Gobiidae
Description: partial 12S ribosomal RNA
Rfam family: Bacterial small subunit ribosomal RNA
Source: RNAcentral